UCUCCGUAGGUGAACCUGCGGAGGGAUCAUUACAGAGUUCAUGCCCUACCGGGUAGAUCUCCCACCCUAUGUUAUUAUUACUUUGUUGCUUCGGCGGGCCGUUAGGCUCCGGCCCGACUACCGGCCCCGGCUGGUAAGCGCCCGCCAGAGGACCCAAAACCCUGAAUAUUAGUGUCGUCUGAGUACUAUAUAAUAGUUAAAACCUUCAACAACGGAUCUCUUGGUUCUG
This 229-nucleotide unclassified non-coding RNA is filed under the name plant metagenome. Its description in RNAcentral is "partial contains small subunit ribosomal RNA, internal transcribed spacer 1, and 5.8S ribosomal RNA". The record is from RNAcentral.